Molecule: ribosomal RNA, 1209 nt
Filed under: Planococcus citreus
Lineage: Bacteria; Bacillati; Bacillota; Bacilli; Caryophanales; Caryophanaceae
Description: bacterial SSU rRNA
Rfam family: Bacterial small subunit ribosomal RNA
Source: RNAcentral
ACUGCAGGAUGGGCCCGCGGCGCAUUAGCUAGUUGGUGAGGUAACGGCUCACCAAGGCCACGAUGCGUAGCCGACCUGAGAGGGUGAUCGGCCACACUGGGACUGAGACACGGCCCAGACUCCUACGGGAGGCAGCAGUAGGGAAUCUUCCGCAAUGGACGAAAGUCUGACGGAGCAACGCUGCUUGAGUGAAGAAGGUUUUCGGUUCGUAAAACUCUGUUGUGAGGGCAGAACAAGUACCAAGUAACUACUGGUACUUUGACGGUACCUCACCAGAAAGCCACGGUUAAUUACGUGCCAGCACCCGCGGUAAUACGUAGGUGGCAAGCGUUGUCCGGAAUUAUUGGGCGUAAAGCGCGCGCAGGCGGUCCUUUAAGUCUGAUGUGAAAGCCCACGGUUCAACCGUGGAGGGUCAUUGGAAACUGGGGGACUUGAGUGCAGAAGAGGAAAGUGGAAUUCCACGUGUAGCGGUGAAAUGCGUAGAGAUGUGGAGGAACACCAGUGGCGAAGGCGACUUUCUGGUCUGUAACUGACGCUGAGGCGCGAAAGCGUGGGGAGCAAACAGGAUUAGAUACCCUGGUAGUCCACGCCGUAAACGAUGAGUGUUAAGUGUUAGGGGUUUCCCGCCCCUUAGUGCUGCAGCUAACCCAUUAAGCAUUCCCCCUGGGGAGUACGCCCGCAAGGCUGAAAUUCAAAGGAUUUGACGGGGGCCCGCACAAGCGGUGGAGCAUGUUGUUUAAUUCGAACAAACGGGAAGAACCUUACCAGGUUUUGAAAUCCCGUUGACCCCUUAGGAGACUAGGGUUUUCCUUCGGGGACAGCGGUGACAGGUGGUGCAUGGUUGUCGUCAGCUCGUGUCGUGAGAUGUUGGGUUAAGUCCCGCAACGAACGCAACCCUUGAUCUUAGUUGCCAGCAUUCAGUUGGGCACUCUAAGGUGACUGCCGGUAACGAACCGGAGGAAUGUGGGGAUCACCUCAAAUCAUCAUGCCCCUUAUGACCUGGGCUACACACGUGCUACAAUGGACGGUACAAAGGGCUGCAAACCCGCGAGGGGGAGCCAAUCCCAGAAAACCGUUCUCAGUUCGGAUUGCAGGCUGCAACUCGCCUGCAUGAAGCCGGAAUCGCUAGUAAUCGCGGAUCAGCAUGCCGCGGUGAAUACGUCCCGGGCCUUGUACACACCGCCCGUCACACCACGAGAGUUUGUAACA